GGGGGAAACCCUGACGCAGCAACGCCGCGUGUGUGAUGAAGGCCUUCGGGUCGUAAAGCACUGUGAGGUGGAACGAGCCGCCGGGGGUUAAUACCCUUCGGCCCGACGGUACCACCAGAGGAAGCACCGGCUAACCCUGUGCCAGCAGCCGCGGUAAUACAGGGGGUGCAAGCGUUGUUCGGAAUUAUUGGGCGUAAAGCGCGUGUAGGCGGGCCACUAAGUCUGGUGUGAAAUCCCUCGGCUUAACCGAGGACGUGCAUUGGAUACUGGUGGCCUUGAGUCCUGGAGAGGGUAGCGGAAUUCCCAGUGUAGAGGUGAAAUUCGUAGAUAUUGGGAGGAACACCGGUGGCGAAGGCGGCUACCUGGACAGUGACUGACGCUGAGACGCGAAAGCAUGGGUAGCAAACAGGAUUAGAUACCCUGGUAGUCCAUGCCGUAAACGAUGGGUGCUAGUUGGUGCGGGUAUUGACCCCUGCGCUGACGAAGCUAACGCGUUAAGCACCCCGCCUGGGGAGUACGGCCGCAAGGCUAAAACUCAAAGGAAUUGACGGGGG
Molecule: ribosomal RNA, 554 nt
Filed under: uncultured bacterium
Lineage: Bacteria
Description: bacterial SSU rRNA
Rfam family: Bacterial small subunit ribosomal RNA
Source: RNAcentral